Molecule: long non-coding RNA, 3346 nt
Organism: Gallus gallus (chicken)
Lineage: Eukaryota; Metazoa; Chordata; Aves; Galliformes; Phasianidae
Source: Ensembl
CAGACUUGUGAUGGAAACAAAGGAAUCAGGUAACAACCUUCCCCCAUGAGAGCCUCCGCCAGGGAUUGCAAUCAAGGAGGCGACGUUGAGAGACAGGCCAGCAAAGGCACAUGGGGUGAGGAGGCAGCAGGGACCUCUAGGCCCAGCCCCCCUGCUUUGGGGGCGGGGGUUCUCCUGUCUUCUUGAGUUCCUACUGCUUUUUGUGCCUAAGCAAUACAGAGGUAAAUGGCAUUUUGUAGGUGGCUGCAUCACAACGCGAUGACCCAACAUCGCGUCCCAUGAAAUCCACGAUGGAAAUGAAGGAUGAAUCACACCACCACUGAUUCAGCUCCCACAUAGAUCCACUGUAAGUGUUUAUUGUGUCUGUACCGGGCCUCAGAGAGCAAAUCACACAGAAGCCAGGCUGGGAGGCUUUCCAGCUAACAGCAAUUAGGACAGUGCCGUUCCGAUGCCGUUCUCAAGUCACCAUCUUCGUUCCUCUCGGACGGAGGUUUAGCUGCACAAUCCCCCCAGCCUCCUGCCAGUCCCUGAGGCCACCAGCAGCCCCAACGAGGCCCAGCACGGCUCGGGAGGUGCAGCAAUGACCCGUCUCCUCCUGCCCACCCCGCUAGGUGGCCCUGCGAGCCCGGCCAACAGCCGGGGCUGCCCGCCCUGCGCAGCGCAGGCACCGACAGCAGCCCAGCAAACACGUCGGGAACAACCUCUUUUAAAACAGGAAUGAAAUUCGAUUACUGUCAGUGCGUGGAUGUUCAGAGUCUCACAGCAAAUGCCUCAUUUUGACGGUAAACGGGGGUAGGUGGAGGCAGGCAUCCACAGCCUCAGGCUGGAUUAGGCAUCAUGGGCGUGUUCAAUGGCCGCCUCUGGCAAGCAGAGAUCUCGCUGCAUGACUCUGAGCUGCUCAGGUAAUCCCUGAAGUGCUUCAGGAGGUCAGCAGAGGAGAGGAGGAAAGAGGAGACACUAAAGCAAGCACAUGCAGAUGUGGUUUCUGUGGGUUGGUGAAGGAGAGGAAGCAGGAGGUAAAAGCUGGAAGCUGUGCUUGGAUUAUACCUCUUCAUUUCCUAGAUGGAAAAAAAAACCCCUUCAGCCUACAUGGUCCUUCCAGAAAACAACAAUUUUAUCCCUCCCUCCUCCCCUUUUGGUAGUGUCUUUAUUUACACUGUUUCAAAACCUAUUUUGCUUGAAAAGAAAUGUUGAUGAGGUUUGGAUUUCCUCCCUGCAUUUCCUAGGCAGAGUUGCUGGUGCUUUGGUCUGCCUGUCUGAGCCCAACGUGAAUUCCAAAUUGUUAGUAUUAUUUUACUGAGAAGAGCAGAUUUUCUGACUUUUCUAAUUCAUACACAGCUAUGCUGUGGGGCUGUGAAACCGUGAUGUUCCAUUGUUGCCAUACUUAUAAAAGCUUUCCCCCAGCUUUGUAAACUCCCAAGUAACUACAGAAAAGGCACAGAGCUUCAGAGUAACCAAAGCCAAGAGGAUGAGGCCCCGUAACUGAGGGAAUUAGGAAUUUUUCCAUUCACUUCAUUGAGUUUUGGUUCAAACACUGUGAAGUCAGAUUCAUCCGUACAUAUCAAAUGAAUGGAGAAAUUCCAAACAUGGACAACAUGAUACCAUUCCUGCAACUACUGAAGAAGGUAGGGAGUAGGAAAGGUGUGUGGUCAGACUUGCUACUAAUCCUUCUUGCAAAAUAUCAAAACCCCAGGAAAGGACAAGAAGAAACAACAGCUUAAGCCUGUAAACCCUUUCAAAGAGGAUGGAAGGAAAGUGGUGUUUGUGGCCAGAACUCCCAAGGCAGAUGAGAAGAGAAAGCACAGCCUGAAAAGUGCAGCUCUGUUGGUUGUGCGGAGCCUCAGAACCUGGCUCAGUAUAGGCAGACUAAAAGUAAACCAUCACAGACCCAAUAUGUAGGAUGCAACCUUUUCUUUCAAGUUCAUGCAGUGGUGUAGGGAAAGAAGUGAAGGCCUGGAAAAUUCAGAAAAUGAAAGGAAGCAGUGGUAUUAUUUCUCAAAUUUGUAAUUAACAGAAGGUAGAGGGUGUGAUAUACUCUAUGCUAAGAUAGAAUUAAAAAAAAAAUCACAGAACCGCUGAAUCAUUUGGGUUGGAAAAGACCUUCAAGAUCAUCAAGUCCAACCAUUGACCUCUCCCACUGAGUUCAUCACUAAAUCACGUCCCCCAGUGCCACUUGCACACAUCUCUUAAAUACCUCCAGGCAUAGGAACUGCACCGCUUCUCUGGGCAGCCCAUUCCAAUGCUUGACCACUUCUUAAUUGUAAAGAAAUUCUCCCUAAUGACCAAACUAAAGAAUUUCCUUGUGUUUGAUCACUUGUCACCUGAGAAAAGAGACCAACACCCCCCUCUUUGAAACCUCCUUUCAGAUAGUCAUCAGGAGCAGUGAGGUCUCCCCUCAUCUCAUCUUCUCCAGAUUAAACAACCCUGAUUCCCUCAGCUGCUCUUUAUAAGUCUUGAAACACUAAAGGCUAAAUCUUGGUUAUUUUCAAUAAUUAGAAUUAAUAAACAAAAUCCCUAAUCAUGCUGCAUCUGCUUUUAAAUUGUAACAAGAAUAAUGACACACAACAAAGCCAUGCUACUAUCAACACAUGACAGCUCUAAGAAGCAUUGGCAUCCAAUAAUUUGCCUGUGGAACCAUUUGUUAACAUUUUAAAGUAGAUAAAGAAGAAUACCACUUAAUCAUUGAAACAGAUGAGCUUCCAGGAGCCUGGACCACUGGGAAGGAAGUUGGGUGUGCAGUCCAACUAUCUUCUACAAACAGAUGUGCUCAGCUUGGGCCCAGAAAUAAUGAACAAGCGGGCAGCCUUGAGUGUGCAAAGACAGGCUGUGACACGGGCAGGCAGAAGUAUGUAAGGUGGUAGGAUAAAGAGAAGAGACUUUGGGAAUAAAAGGAUGGAAUUCUGCAAGGAGAAUGUUCGGGGUCAUUUGGGAAUUAACUGUGCCAGUGAAUCUGCGGGUUACAAAUGGGUGUAAUACAGGACAGAAGCCACGCAUCAUCACUUUCUACUUCCCCUGCAAAAGACAUCCUCCGUUAAGUCUUGAUCAAGGACUGUGCUGUACAUCACAGAAGAGGAGGCAGGAUGCAGAAAUUCAGUAAUUUCCAUUAACUGACACUAGACUAAAACCAUAAUUGAUUAAACAAACAAAAAAAAGUGGUUUGGGGCGGUCUAUUAGCUUCUGCUUUGCUGCUUACCAUCCACACAAAUUCAUUACAGAGUACAAGUUAGUAAGAUGUCCAUCUGCCUAUUAAUAAUUGAUUUAAUUUAACACAUGAAGUGUGUGUAAUCUGUUUCCUUGUUCCUCUGUAAAUAUAACCUAUGAAUCAUUGGUAACCAGUAAAGAAGCU